GAUAUGGAUUCCAACCCAAGCGGUGCUCAUUUAUCUGAGCACACACUUAGCCAUAAUGGACGCAGUGAGGCCUCAAACCAUGAAUCCCCCUCUGCCAGUCCUGAAAGUCCAUCCUCCACCCCUCUCCUCACAUUUUCACAUUCAAACCAGACUCUGACAACUCCAGCUCACAUAGACGCUGACUCAAACGUCAUGUCUUUUCUAGAAACUCCACCCAGCAGCGAUUCCAAGCCUCCUGAUCCAGCUCCUCAGGAUGUGCUGCAAUCAAAGGCCGCUGACUCCUCCUCAGACCAACCCUCUCUUUUUUGGAGGAUGCUUGGACUCCACACCACUAUCCUCAACAGGAGUCCAGGUAGCUGGUACACAUUUCAUCACAGUUCUGCACGCCUAAACCACAGAUCUGCUUUCCACCAAACACAACGUUUGGUUUUUCCAUUACUGCCUGACACCAUAGAAUUGGUAGCAAUCGCUUCAGUGUGUGUUUGGAGUAACCUGAUAUGCCCCAGGGCCCUCAGUGAUGUAUAUUCUCUGAAUAUUUUAUUUCUUAAAUUUGACAAACUAGCAUCACGAUUCGGAAACGUCUCACUGAUGGAGGGUUGUCCUUUGUCUGAUGGCCUCCUCGUUUACAUGUCCUGUUUUUUUGUAAACCAGAAGCUAACAUGCAGAUCCAAACCUUAUCUUACACACACUCGGAUUGUAACAGGGUUUAGCAGUGACCUUAGUGAACCUUCACAUGUGCACUCAGGCAGUCUGUCUCCCUCGCCGUCCAGCAUCCACGCAGGGAAAUGCCUUCAAUCAGAUUAGAGGCUGUUCACAGGCGCAGAGAGGACGUAUCGAUUUCUGUCCUGUUGCUCGCGGUGGUGGAUGUACCUGCAGCGAGAAGCUGACACAGAUCCAAUUAGACCUGUUACCAGAGCUAUUUGACCCAACAAGCCGCUUUCAUUGCUUUUGUCCUGAUAUUGAUACACUGCUGCUCCACUUGCAUUAUGUUUAAAAGAAAAAAAAAAACUGCAAAGUGACAGAUCUGCACAUAUAUUUAACUGACAGCAGCUGCAAGAAUAGAGACUGAAAACUCAUGAGACACUUUAGUCAUUGUCACAUGUAUAACAGAAUUGAAAGAGCUCUUAGUUCAGUGCAUCAUUCAUUAAAAAACAAAUUUAUCGCUAGUACAUUUUCCCCUAAUAAGCAGUGUGUUAUUCAGCCAUUUCAAAAAAAUCUAAAUCAUUUGCAACUAAUAGAAAUAAAGUG
This 1248-nucleotide long non-coding RNA is filed under the name Oryzias sinensis (Chinese medaka). Its description in RNAcentral is "lncRNA (ENSOSIG00000012659.1)". The record is from RNAcentral. Lineage: Eukaryota; Metazoa; Chordata; Actinopteri; Beloniformes; Adrianichthyidae.